RNAcentral lists this long non-coding RNA (4049 nucleotides) under Sus scrofa (pig). RNAcentral's name for it is "lncRNA (ENSSSCG00000052004.1)". The record is from RNAcentral. Lineage: Eukaryota; Metazoa; Chordata; Mammalia; Artiodactyla; Suidae.
ACGCUGGAUCCUUAACCCUCUGAGCGAGGCCAGGGAUCGAACUCACGUCCUCUUGAAUACUAGUCAGGUUCGUUACCGCUGAGCUACAAUGGGAACUCCCAGAAUAAUCUUACUUUUGCUUUUUAAAAAAAGAGCUUAUGCAUCUACAUGGAGAUGCAGGAUAUUUGAAAGGCAUAGAAAAAGCUGGGAGGAUACCUGACAAAUACACUUAACCUCUGAGCAGUGGGUUGAAGAGAAGGCAGAUAAAGGCACUCAGGUUUUUCCUUUUACACAGUUCUGUUCUGUAUUCUGCAUUUCCUAACAGACUCCAGACCUCGGGCAAGGCCUUGGGUUCAGAGCCCAGCCCAUCUCACAAGCUUUGUGACCCUGAGCAAGUUGGAACCUCUGCAAACCUCAGUUCCUUCGUUUAUAACGUGGGGAUCAUAGCCGCAGCCUCACGGAGCAGUGGUAAUCUUACUUAGGUGCUCAGGAAACAGUUAUUUCCCAGGCACUUUCUAUGCCUCAUACCUUGCGUGGUAUCUCCUUUUAUUUAUUUAUUUAUUGUCUUUUUGCUAUUUCUUGGGCCGCUCCUGCAGCAUAUGGAGGUUCCCAGGCUAGGGGUCUAAUUGGAGCUGUAGCCACCAGCCUACGCCAGAGCCACAGCAACGCGGGCUCCGAGCCGCGUCUGCCACCUACACCACAGCUCACGGCAAAGCCGGAUCAUUAACCCACUGAGCAAGGCCAGGGACCGAACCCGCAACCUCAUGGUUCCUAGUCGGAUUCAUUAACCACUGCGCCACGAUAGGAACUCCGUAUCUCCUUUUAAAGCAGCUGCUUCCUGGGGCAAAGGAACAUUAUUCCAGGGCGAAGGAAUAUUAUUGCAGAAUACUCAGGCACUUUAGAGCCUGAAGGGAAGGGCCCAGGGCUGAGGUAUUACAUUACAGAAAAAUGCGCAUACAGCUGACCCUUGAACAUCACGGGUUUGAACUGCAGUAGGGUUUUUUCCACAGUAAACGCUGCAGUACUGUAAUAUCCGAGGUGGGUUGAACCUCCAGGUGCAGAACCACAGGCUUGGAGGGCCAACUAUAAGUAAUACAUGGAUUUUCCACCGCGGGGCAGAGCGCGGAGUGGGCAGCCCUUCCCACCUCUUGUUCAGGGAUCAACUGUUGGAUGUUGCUGCUCUUUUUAGCCCAGUGAAGAGCAAGCAUGUAAACUGGCCACUAGGUGUCGGCAUUGAGCCGCACGUGCACCUUCCAGCCACUGGUGAGCAGUUAACCCUGAGCCCCUCCCUGCCUUGUUCCAGGGGCCCUUUUACAUCUCAGCUGCCCAAAGAGGUAGGCACGUUUCCCCUUUUACCACGUUUUAUAUUUAAGGGAAGAGGGUCACAGGGGUGGAAGAACUUAGUCUGAGGUUAAACUGCUAGGAAGUGGUAGAACCCAGAUUUAUACCAGCAGCUUGGCUUCUGAGUCCAGGCUCUCGUCCACUCUUGUCCCACUGCCCUCACCAUAAAUAAGGAGACCACAGGUUUCCUGAGGCCUUUUCAGCUGGAUUAAAUAGGACACCAUUACUGUUUAGCAUUUAUUUUCCCUGAAAUUGCACUGUAAAAUGCCAACUCAGAAGCCAGUCUCCAUCAGCUGUUGUAUGUUUUCUAGGAGCCCAUGAAGUCAAGACUUUCAAAUUGUCUCACCACCAAACCAACGGUUCCCAGCACAGUGCCUGGCACAUAGUAGGUAUACAAUAAAUCUGCCAGUGAAUAAAUGAAUUGUACACAUUGAGCGGUAAGAUAGGCUAAAGAUUAAGUGCGUGGAUUCUGGCACCAGAUUGUGGGGCUUGAAUUUCAGUUCUGCAGGAGCCUCGUGACCUCAGACAAGUUUGCAUCUUUGUAAAUCUUACAUCAUCCAAGGUAAAUUGGGGAUAAUCAUGGCACCUGCUUCAGAGGCGGUUGUAGUAAAUGAGUAAAUUUAAAACAGUGCCUGGAGUUCCCGUUGUGGCGCAGUAGAAAUGAACCUGACUGGUAUCUGUGAGGACUCGAGUUCCAUCCCUGGCCUCCCUCAGUGGGUCAAGGAUCCAGUGUUGCCAUGAGCUGUGGUGUAGGUUGCAGAUGCGGCUUGGAUCCUGUGUUGCUGUGGCUGAGGCCACGAGGUGAAGGUGCCGUGCACCUUUCCAGCUGAUGGCGCCCGCUGGGGUCCCAGCCAGUAGCCCCAGCAUCAACCACCUGACAAAUGAAGAUGACCCUGGCCAUGGAAUCCCCCCCGCCCCCCCAGCGUCAGUCUUCCUAGCUGAGGCCUCAGACAUUGUGGGACAGACAAGCUGUACCCCAAACCCUUCCAAAUUCCUGACCCUCAGAAUGAGGAGAAUAAUAAAAAUGGUGGUUAAUGUUACACCACUGAGUUUGGGGUGGUUUGUCACACACCAAGCAGUAGUAAGUGGAACAGCAUGUCUGUCACUAGACGGCGACCGCGUCUGCCGACAUACGUGCUAGUCAGGUGUUUACAUCCCCGAGGUCUCCUACCCUCCUAGGAAGAUGGCUGCACAUCUGCGUCAGAGAAGUGUAGCACCUGCAAAUCCCCUCCCAAUGCCUCUGCUGAGAAAUCCUGUCUAAUGCAUGUCUCUGUCCCCACUAAAGCAGAAAGAAGCUGUGGCUGAUGUCACAACAGGCCUGCAACUUCUGCCAAGGAAGGCCCUUUGCUGGAAAACCCUAGAUGGCCCCUACGGCAGUUUGGCUGGACAGGACUGACUUGGCUGGGGGCAGAACCCCAGCGUGGCCACCUCUGUCCCCUUUUAGAAUUGUUCCACUACUCUUCAGCAGGAGGUAGGUAAUAAAUAGUAAACCUUAAACAGUAUGCCCCGUGGCCGACACGAACUCAGCCCGCAGAACAGCUGUGUGACGUUGGUAUUCGCAGCACCCGCUUCUCCAGAUAAGCAAGUCCCCAGGCAGAGGUUAACAUGUAGCAUGACAGCGAAGUAGUGGUGGAGCCAAGUUUUGGGCCCAGGCUCCUAACCAGUAGCCUAGGCUGCCUUUGCUAGCGCUAACGGAGUUUUUUAUUGAUAGAUUUUUCAAAUAAGUUACAGGGUAUAAUAUUCAAAAGCCAUGAAAUCAUAGAUAGUAAAAAAACGUCUCCCUGUCAAGGACCUAGGCCAAGGACUGGUCUAUCCUUUUUUUUACUUUGUCUUUUUAUCGCUGUGCCUGCAGCAUAUGGAGGUUCCCAAAUCAGAGCUGUAGCCACUAGCCUACACCUACACCAGAUCUGAGCCUCGUCUGUGACCUACACCAUAGCUCACAGCAUUGCUGGAUCCUUAACCCACUGAGUGAGGCCAGGGAUCAAACCUGCAACCUCAUGGAUGCCAGUCAGAUUCGUCUCCACUGAGCCACAAUGGGAACUCCUGUUCUUUUAACAAUAAAAGUAGCAUCUGUUUAUUUUGCCCUUUCUGUGCCAGAAUGGCCACGCCUGGGAGCUUGCUAGAGACGCAGAGUGUGCCCCACCCCAGACCUGCCGAAUCAGAAUCUACCUCCCCACCAGGCAGAUGAGGGAGGGGUUAUGGCAGUGGUGUGUCCUCUGAAGAUGUUUGUCUUAACUGCAUAAACUUGAGCAACAGAGGCGCCCCACUAGGAACUUUCUGAGGGCUGCCUUGCGAAGUGCAUUCCCUGGGGAGUGCCGAGGGGCGACAUCUGGUUUCCAACCCUCAGAAAUACCGCUGCUUCAGGCACAGGCAUUCCCUGAAGUGGUGAUGAUAAUAAUUACCAUUUAUACAGGCGCUUGUCACGUGGCAUGUUGGCCUGUUUUCACUAGAUCAUUCCUCACAACAGCCUGAAGGAGGCAGGCGAGAUUAUUACCCCCACUUUACACACGAGAAAACUGAGGCCACGGAUACUAAAUAAUUUGCCCAAAGUCAUACAGCUGUUAAGUCAUAAGCCAAUCCCCUCACGUGUGACCAUCUCAUCCUUCCCGCCCGAGUUUAUUACCCAGCUUCCGCGUUUCCGGUGUCAUGGUUGGGGUCUUUCUUUUUUUUUAAAGAAAACAAAGAGGGAAAUAUUUAACAAGGCCAGAAGGAAAUAAACUCAUUCAAAU